RNAcentral lists this transfer RNA (74 nucleotides) under Chloroflexota bacterium. Its description in RNAcentral is "tRNA-Ala". It matches the Rfam family "tRNA". Rfam says of the family: Transfer RNA (tRNA) molecules are approximately 80 nucleotides in length. Their secondary structure includes four short double-helical elements and three loops (D, anti-codon, and T loops). The record is from RNAcentral. Lineage: Bacteria; Bacillati; Chloroflexota.
GGGGCUGUAGCUCAGUUGGGAGAGCGCUUGAAUGGCAUUCAAGAGGUCAGGGGUUCGACUCCCCUCAGCUCCAC